Molecule: long non-coding RNA, 3109 nt
Organism: Equus quagga
Lineage: Eukaryota; Metazoa; Chordata; Mammalia; Perissodactyla; Equidae
Exons: 3
Source: RefSeq, a predicted model, not a curated record
CCCCGCGCCGCAGCCCUAGGGGGCGGGUCCGGCGCCGGAGGCCGGGAGCUGCGCCGAGCCGCGCCGCUCGCGGAGGGGGAGGCCGGAGGCGGCCUCCCCGCCCCCCACCCUGGUCAGGGUGAGGGGGCAGUGACAGGUGUCUCGAGGCCGGACCGUCUGGCCGAGGCAGCAGCAAGGAGAAGCUGGCCCGGAUGCCCAGAGUCACGCCGGCCCGCAAGACCCCUGCCACAGAGAAAUCGGCCGGCCACGGUCGCUUCCCAGAACGAUUGCACCACUGCGGCUGCCGCCGGCCUGGCGCUGCCCCCAAGCCUCGCAGUCCUGGCAGCUUGGAGGGGAGAACCCUGGGCCGGAUCCCACAGACCCAGAGAGCUUUGAGUAACCCGGGAGGAGCCCUGGAGGAGGGGAGCCUUGUUCCACUCCACUCCGGGAAGGCGGGCUGUGAUCCUGCUGAAGUUGCCACAGCUGAUCCUGGAGGAGGGGAGAGAGGUGGGAGAAAGAGAAGAGGGGAGGCAAGACAGGAGCUUGCUCCCUGCCACCCUGACCCACACCCCAGGGUCUGGGGCUUCAGAACUUGAUGAACGGAGAGUACGCAGGAUUUGGAGUCAGAGAAGGGCCCCAGACCAGGUCAGCCUGGGGCUGGGCUCUCCUGUGCCACCUUCCCUUCGCAUCCCUGGCACCCUGGAAAGUGCUUUCAGCGUUGGUCUCAGACACCCAGCUGUAAACUCCAUGAAGGAACUGGUGGCUUUGAGACUGUUCUACCACUUAAUUAGCUAAUCUCGGGAAAGUGACGGAACCAGUGACCACUCAUAGGGGACACGGCCGUGCUCAGAAGCAGGGAAGAAGCUACUCAUAUCCAAUAUCUGUACCAUGCGUUACAACUGAGACGCUUCACUUAAGGGUCAUUUUCACCACCAAUAUUUAUCUUGAUCUUUGCAACAAAACAAAUGAGGAAACUGAAGAACAAAAGUUAAAUGACCUGAAGUCACGCAGCCUGUGAAUGAUGGAACUACAUUUUUUUCAUUGUGGUAAAAGACACAUAGCCUAAUUUACCCUUUUAACUAUUUUCAGUGUACAAUUCAGUGGCAUUAAGUACAUUCACAAUGUUAUCCAGCCAUCACUGUUGUCUGGUUCCUGAGCUUUUUGAUCACUCCAAGGAACUAAAAUUUGAACCGAGAUUGAUCUAACUUCCAAACCUGUGCAUGCUACCUGUAAUAAUUCACAGCUGCGUUAAGUAAACGUAUACUGGAAAUGAAAGUAGUGGAUUGAAUACCACGGAAUUAUGUGGUAUAAACAGGAAAUGCAGCAGGGAUUCAGAAAAGGGAGCAUCAGUGUGGACCUCUGCCUGCACUAGCCAGGAAAGUCCUUCUGGACAUGUGGAGGCUUCAGUGAAAAGUCAGGUUUAGAUAGGGGAGGAAUGAGGAUAGAUAUUCCAGGCAGGGUAAGUGGCACAAGCAAGGAGAGAGGGGUGACUGAAGAGAAGGGCUCGUACAAUGACGACUGCAGAGUUUCUGUAUCAGAAGAGUUCAGGGUAACCAUCUGGUUAGAAGGUGGGGCUGGUGGGGAGACUAAGUGACAUGGCUUGAAGUGAUAUUUGCAGAGCAAGCCCAGUGCUUUCAUUUCCAUUGUAUGUCUGCUUGGAAUGCCUUGAGGAGAGCAUUAGCCCCUACCACCACCCAUUGGCACCACCCUUAUGCAAAAAGCUGGUACUCAGUAAAGAAUAUUUAUUACAUGGCUAACUAGAAAUUCAACAGGGGAGAAGGUGCAUACAUGUGAGAGCUUGGGCAGAUGAGGUGGAGUUAGGUCAUGGGGGAGGAACUUGGAUCUUAAGAUAAAGUAGGCAAUGGGGAGCAGCUGCAGGUUCUUGAGCAAGGGCAAGACUAUGUGAUGAAAUUGGAAUUUAGGUUUUCAAUGGUUUCUCUAUUUCUUCGUUGCCUGAGAGCGCCCCCCUGGUGUCCCUAGGUUGAAUUGUUCCCUCAUCUCAGGGAGCGGGCAGGAGGAAGGGGGCACUGAAAAGCAGCAUUGACGAUCGGAGAAGCCAGACCCUUGGGCCUCAUUUCAAUUCAUCCUGAGUGAUGACAGCACUGCAGUGAAAAUAGAGGUGACAUGUGGACAGAGAGGGUUUGAUGUGAAGGAAAAGGCAUUGUGGUGGUUCCCCUCUCUGUCUCGUAACUCUGAGCUGGGAUAUUGUGUCAGGUCCUAAGCUGGGGGCUGGAGAUAGGAUGAUGACUAAGACAGGUCUAUGUGCGUGAGAAACUUGUACUCUAGUGAAGGGGACAGACAAGUAAACAAUUAUAAUACAACGUGUCUAGCGUGUAAGUAGGCACAUAAAACAGUUACUUAACUUAGCCCGAGGUGGUCAAAGAAGGCUUCCUGGAAGAACUGACCCCUAGCUUCAUUGAAGGGACCAUGGUAAGUAACCAGGUAAAUGGGAUGUGGCAGCGUGCUAUGUGCAGGAGAUUACUAGCAGUUGGUUAGUAUCUGGCAAGGGAGGAAUGAGUUUAGUGAGGGAUGAGGCCGGAUUACAGAGGAUUUGUAAACCAUGGUAAAUUAUGUAGAGCGAUGGGGUGUGUCUGCAUGGUUUUAAGCAGGGGAGCACCCGCAAACCAGUUUAGAUCCAUCAGAGUUCAGGCCCCAGAGCGACAAAACCAAAGGUCCCACUUCUAGAGUCCUAUUUCCCUUCCCAGGUCUGUCCUGUCCCUUGGGUGGCUGAGGUUGGAGACAGCCGGUCCCUUCUGGGGGAGGCUGCCUCUACACGUAGGGUGUGGCCUUAUUUUAACUUUCAACAAGCCAGUCCAUCUGAUCAUAAAAAUCCCUUACUAGAGUGAAAGAUAAGCACUGGGGGGGAACCUCUUCUCUUAUUUCACCCCCAUGUGACAGAUCCUCAUGGCAGCUCCUUCCCACAUCUGACUUGAGAUAAGACACAGCACUUUGAAUCCCCUCUAAACAAUCCUUGAAUAAACUCCAUGCAGUGGAGUACUAUGCAGCUGUUAAAAGAAUAAGGAUGAUCUCUAUACACUGGUAUGGAGUAAUUGCCAGAAUAUAAUUUUUUAAAUUUCUUUAUUCAUUUAUUUUUAAAGGUUGGCACCUGAGCUGACAUCUGUUGCCAAUC